GAGUUUGAUCGUGGCUCAGAUUGAACGCUGGCGGCAGGCCUAACACAUGCAAGUCGAGCGGUAGAGAGAAGCUUGCUUCUCUUGAGAGCGGCGGACGGGUGAGUAAUGCCUAGGAAUCUGCCUGGUAGUGGGGGAUAACGCUCGGAAACGGACGCUAAUACCGCAUACGUCCUACGGGAGAAAGCAGGGGACCUUCGGGCCUUGCGCUAUCAGAUGAGCCUAGGUCGGAUUAGCUAGUUGGUGAGGUAAUGGCUCACCAAGGCGACGAUCCGUAACUGGUCUGAGAGGAUGAUCAGUCACACUGGAACUGAGACACGGUCCAGACUCCUACGGGAGGCAGCAGUGGGGAAUAUUGGACAAUGGGCGAAAGCCUGAUCCAGCCAUGCCGCGUGUGUGAAGAAGGUCUUCGGAUUAUAAAGCACUUUAAGUUGGGAGGAAGGGCAAUAAAUUAAUACUUUGCUGUUUUGACGUUACCGACAGAAUAAGCACCGGCUAACUCUGU
RNAcentral lists this ribosomal RNA (502 nucleotides) under uncultured bacterium. RNAcentral describes it as "bacterial SSU rRNA". It matches the Rfam family "Bacterial small subunit ribosomal RNA", at positions 9 to 506 of the family's 1533-position model. The record is from RNAcentral.